AGCAGAGGAUAUGGGGGAGGGGUCUGUCCCGGGAAGGCCUCAUAGGGUUCUGCUCCAUUACACAAACCCAUAGGACUAUGGCACCAAGAGUGAACCCUAGGAUGAACUGUGGGCUUUGAUAAGGACGGGUCAGCAUGAACCUUCUCAUAGCCAGUGGAAGGAACCAGAAGAGACUAGUUACUUGGUAAAAAUAAUAUUCUGGCAGGCCACUCCCUGGCUCUGAAGCUCUCACUUGCUCCCCAGCACCUUCAACUCGCACAUAGGCCUUCCGUCCGCUUCCUCUGCUGUACAGCCACUCUGGGAACUGUUAGUGGAGUAGAAAGAAAACAGGCUCUGCCUUUUGACUCUUCAUUUCUGUGCCCACCUUUGAGGGAAUGGAACACAUGUUUGCAAACUGCUCAGUUAACUCUGAAGACUGCUGGGCUGUGACCUUGCCCUCAGUGUCUGAUUCAAGAUGAAAGUGGAUGCUCCCUGACCAAAGUGCUUAAUUCUGAGUCCCCCUCCAUGUUCACACCUGUCCUCCCUGCCAAACCCCCUCCCCUGCGAGAGGAUCCAGAGCUUCUCUGGGGGAGGCACAUGAUGCUCAAACAAUUAGGAGUUCAGCUUCCAAAC
Molecule: long non-coding RNA, 612 nt
Organism: Bos taurus (domestic cattle)
Lineage: Eukaryota; Metazoa; Chordata; Mammalia; Artiodactyla; Bovidae
Source: Ensembl